AGUGUAGUUGCUCGCACCUGCUGCUGACUGUCCAAGGAAUCCAACCUGAACCCGCACUUUCCUCCCGAAAUCCGGCAGAAAUGAAGACGAACUCCGAUUCCCAGUAAUGGAGGAGUACGGGCGCCGGCUGGUCGCGGCUGGGUCCGACAACCUCACCCUCGAGGCGCUCUUCCGGUCCGAGCCCGCGGCGGGGAGGCCCGUGCGCGCGCUGGUGCACGACCUCCCGUGAGCGGGCCGCCGGCGGUGCCCUUCUCACAGCCAUGCGCGGUGGAAGUCAUCUGCGGGGAGGCCUUCGCCAGGCGCGUAGGGCUGCAUAUCGUGGAAGGGGCUGCCGAGUGUUGUUGGUCAACUCGUUCCAUGAUACCGAGCUGACGGUGAGGAAGAAGGAUUACCUGGCGUCAACAUGGCGUGUGAAGUCCAUCAGCCCGACAGUGCCGCCGUUCAACAAGACCAUUGUUUUGACCUCUUUGAGAAUUGAGAGCACAGCACCGUGCAUGGCAUGGCUGGAUAGCCAGCUCCCUUGCUCAGUCGUCUAUGCCCUUCUAACUUCUAUGAAACUGUCACUGACCUUGACGCGAGGCUGUUAUAGGAGAUAGGCAAUGGACUCUGCAAAUCUGGUAAGCAGUUCCUCUGGGGUCUCAGAUCCGUUCACGAAUACAAGGUUUCAGAGCAAGCCGGUGAGGUGUAGGAUAGAGGGUUAACUUUUUCCUGGUGCCCCCAGCUUGAGGUUUUACCACACAAGACCUAAGGUAUGUAUGUUUUACUUACAGCUGAUUGUGUGAUUUAUUAAGCAGAAGAAGAAAAAUGUCCAUGUAACUAUCUUACAGGUUCAUAUAUGAACAGUUGAACACUGUGCUGCUGAAUGUGUAAAGUACAUUAUCAAAGUAUAUAAGCGGAGCAAUAUAAAAACCAUCACUGUUCAUGUGAGGUGUUGUGAUGUCUAAUAUUCUUACUGCAUAUUAAUAUUCACUAAUUGUCCUUAUUUUUCAGAAGAUGAAAUGAAAUAAAUGUUGACGUCCUAGCAAUUACAAAUUAGUGUGCAAAGGCGUUAGUCUCCAGUUAUAGCAACACAAUGCCAUAUUAAUCAAUUACAAUGUGAAAAGGUAACAUUUACAGUAUAAUGCUACUAUGGUAGAUAGAAACUAUGGUUUCUAAAAAUCGCACAAGCCAUGUCUACUGCUUAAGUACUGCCUCUAUCUAGUUUUCAUCAGCAUAACUGUAGAAACCUGAAGGCGGGGAAUAAGGAAACAUGAACAGUAUAAACAUAUAUUUUUCCUAAAUUUACUGCUUAUCCUUCCAUAGACUCUGUCUUCGCUUAGGUUGUGUUGAUUGUUUAGUAAUGGUUUGCGAUAAUUUGUUGCUACAAGAGCAUACUGCUGUUGUCCAUGAUACUUUCAUACAGGGUAUAUGAGGUAUAUGUGUACCAUAGAGUGCAGUGUCCUUAACUUGCAAAGAUAUAUUUCUAAUCUAGUUAAUAUAGUUUAGGGUCAUGUACUCAGCCAAAUCUUGUAAGCUGUAGCUUAUCUCUUAAUUAAAUCUAAUCCUGUCUAACUCAAAGUGUAAAAGGGAUGUGAAUAUAUCCUGCAUAAUGUGUAGUGAACAGAUCGAGUGAUCUGUUCCAAAUAACUAAGUAGCUAGUAAAAAAAAUAACAUUUCACUUAUGAACUCAUCAACAGGUUGUUUCUUAACUCCGUGCGGAUGGAACUCUGCAAUAGAAGCAAUUACUACUGGGGUAGCACUGUUGGCAAUGCCUCAGUAAAUGAUUAACCAACUACGACAAUGCAUUGGUGUGGUGAGAAAGGAAAAUUGGUGUGCUGGUGCAUCGUGGUAAAGGUGCAGUCAAAAACCAAGAGUUAUAUAGAGAGGUGCAUAAGAGAAGUAUUCGAUGGUGAAUUUGCAUCCAUGUACGCCUCUAAUUGUUGUUGAAACAUUCCUAACGCGAUCGAAAUGUCUUAUAUUCGAAACUGUGAUCAUCUCUAAACUGUAAUUUUAUACUAUUACUGGGGGGAGAAUGCCUACUUUUGUUGUGUUAAUUAAUAGAUUUAUAGGUAUAUUAUCUUUGGUGGUAAUUUUUUUUGAAAGUAUCGUUCCAUCUUUGUUUUUUUAACGCUUGCAUUUCUGUUUCAAUAAUGCAAGUUCUCUUGUUUGUCAGAUCAGUAAGAAAAGAAAUGAGUUUAAGACAGAGCAAAACUACGCAGCUCCAAAAGGUGAGGACCGGUUCAGCUCAACUAAUAAACCAGUCGGGUGAAGACGAGAUACUGAAGCUUCAAGUCCCUAAUGAAGGUGAGCGACAGUACAUGAUUAGCACAAGGUUUUUGGUGCUGUUUCAUCAGGUCCGGUGAUUGAAGCAAAAAAAGUUGCUCGAGAUUAGCAGAAGGCUGAGGGUGAGUCAGGGUCCGGUGAUGGAUGCAACAAAAUGCAUUGUUGUUUCUCCUCUCCUUAUCCGAGUAGAUGGUGUGAAAAAUGGGCACCAGUUAUCUUCAUUUGCCAUAUGUAAACAAGACAUUUACGAUGGCUACAUACUUAGGAACAUGUAGGCAAAAAUCCUACACAUGCAGAAAAUAACUUAUUGACCCA
Molecule: long non-coding RNA, 2577 nt
Organism: Aegilops tauschii subsp. strangulata
Lineage: Eukaryota; Viridiplantae; Streptophyta; Magnoliopsida; Poales; Poaceae
Source: RefSeq, a predicted model, not a curated record